Molecule: ribosomal RNA, 467 nt
Filed under: uncultured bacterium
Lineage: Bacteria
Description: partial 16S ribosomal RNA
Rfam family: Bacterial small subunit ribosomal RNA
Source: RNAcentral
GAUGAACGCUGGCGGCGUGCUUAACACAUGCAAGUCGAACGGAAAGGCCCAAGCUUGCUUGGGUCCUCGAGUGGCGAACGGGUGAGUAACACGUGGGUGAUCUGCCCUGCACUUCGGGAUAAGCCUGGGAAACUGGGUCUAAUACCGGAUAGGACCACAUUUUGGAUGGUGUGGUGGAGAGUUUUUCGGUGUGGGAUGAGCUCGCGGCCUAUCAGCUUGUUGGUGGGGUAAUGGCCUACCAAGGCGUCGACGGGUAGCCGGCCUGAGAGGGUGUACGGCCACAUUGGGACUGAGAUACGGCCCAGACUCCUACGGGAGGCAGCAGUGGGGAAUAUUGCACAAUGGGCGCAAGCCUGAUGCAGCGACGCCGCGUGGGGGAUGACGGCCUUCGGGUUGUAAACUCCUUUCGCUAGGGACGAAGCGUUUUUGUGACGGUACCUGGAGAAGAAGCACCGGCUAACUACGUG